Molecule: ribosomal RNA, 497 nt
Filed under: uncultured bacterium
Lineage: Bacteria
Description: partial 16S ribosomal RNA
Rfam family: Bacterial small subunit ribosomal RNA
Source: RNAcentral
GAUGAACGCUGGCGGCGUGCCUAAUACAUGCAAGUCGAGCGAACAGACGAGGAGCUUGCUCCUCUGACGUUAGCGGCGGACGGGUGGGUAACACGUGGAUAACCUACCUAUAAGACUGGGAUAACUUCGGGAAACCGGAGCUAAUACCGGAUAACAUGUUGAACCGCAUGGUUCAACAGUGAAAGACGGUCUUGCUGUCACUUAUAGAUGGAUCCGCGCCGCAUUAGCUAGUUGGUAAGGUAACGGCUUACCAAGGCAACGAUGCGUAGCCGACCUGAGAGGGUGAUCGGCCACACUGGAACUGAGACACGGUCCAGACUCCUACGGGAGGCAGCAGUAGGGAAUCUUCCGCAAUGGGCGAAAUCCUGACGGAGCAACGCCGCGUGAGUGAAGAAGGUCUUCGGAUCGUAAAACUCUGUUAUUAGGGAAGAACAAAUGUGUAAGUAACUAUGCACGUCUUGACGGUACCUAAUCAGAAAGCCACGGCUAACUACGUG